This 329-nucleotide unclassified non-coding RNA is filed under the name soil metagenome. RNAcentral's name for it is "partial contains 5.8S ribosomal RNA, internal transcribed spacer 2, and large subunit ribosomal RNA". The stretch from base 1 to 120 matches the Rfam family "5.8S ribosomal RNA", at positions 35 to 154 of the family's 154-position model. The record is from RNAcentral.
GAUGAAGAACGUAGCGAAAUGCGAUAAGUAAUGUGAAUUGCAGAAUUCAGUGAAUCAUCGAAUCUUUGAACGCACAUUGCGCCCUCUGGUAUUCCGGGGGGCAUGCCUGUUCGAGCGUCAUUAUAACCACUCAAGCUCUCGCUUGGUAUUGGGGUUCGCGGUUCCGCGGCCCCUAAAAUCAGUGGCGGUGCCUGUCGGCUCUACGCGUAGUAAAACUCCUCGCGAUUGAGUCCGGUAGGUCUACUUGCCAGCAACCCCCAAUUUUUACAGGUUGACCUCGGAUCAGGUAGGGAUACCCGCUGAACUUAAGCAUAUCAAUAAGCGGAGGA